AUUGAACGCUGGCGGAAUGCUUUACACAUGCAAGUCGAACGGUAGAGGGGGCAACCCCUUGAGAGUGGCGAACGGGUGAGUAAUAUAUCGGAACGUGCCCAGUCGUGGGGAUAACGUAGCGAAAGUUACGCUAAUACCGCAUACGAUCUAAGGAUGAAAGCGGGGGAUCGCAAGACCUCGCGCGAUUGGAGCGGCCGAUAUCAGAUUAGGUAGUUGGUGAGGUAAAGGCUCACCAAGCCAACGAUCUGUAGCUGGUCUGAGAGGACGACCAGCCACACUGGAACUGAGACACGGUCCAGACUCCUACGGGAGGCAGCAGUGGGGAAUUUUGGACAAUGGACGCAAGUCUGAUCCAGCCAUUCCGCGUGCAGGAUGAAGGCCCUCGGGUUGUAAACUGCUUUUGUACGGAACGAAAAGG
This 418-nucleotide ribosomal RNA is filed under the name uncultured bacterium. RNAcentral describes it as "bacterial SSU rRNA". It matches the Rfam family "Bacterial small subunit ribosomal RNA", at positions 30 to 453 of the family's 1533-position model. The record is from RNAcentral.